CCCUUCCAGAGAGGUCAUCCAGGAAUGUAAUGAGACGCUCGGUGUUGUAUGGCACAACCCUUCCAGAGAGGUCAUCCAGGAAUGUAAUGAGACGCUCGGUGUUGUAUGGCACAACCCUUCCAGAGAGGUCAUCCAGGAAUGUAAUGAGACGCUCGGUGUUGUAUGUCACAACCCUUCCAGAGAGGUCAUCCAGGAAUGUAAUGAGACGCUCGGUGUUGUAUGUCACAACCCUUCCAGAGAGGUCAUCCAGGAAUGACAUCCACCCCUCUGGUCCGGGACAUCCACCCCUCUGGUCCGGGACAUCCACCCCUCUGGUCCAGGACAUCCACCCCUCUGGUCCAGGAUAUCCACCCCUCUGGUCCAGGAUAUCCACCCCUCUGGUCCAGGAUAUCCACCCCUCUGGUCCAGGACAUCCACUGUGGCUCUUUUCCCAAUCACAUUCCUUCCUCACCGCUGUGUUUUGGCCAAGUUGAAACCAGCCUCAUCUACAAGGAUGAAUAUGCGGGGUGUUUGCUUGGCUUCAAUCUCCAUGACUCUCUAAAAUACAUCCACAAGGCAACAUAAGAGUUAGGCUAUUACGGUAGUUUACAUCAUACCUAAACAACAUGCCAUUAUGUGCCUCUGCCCUGUUUGGUUUUGUUCAAAACCAGUUCUGUAUUUUAUGAUAAUUUUACCUGGACAUAUUGGUUCCUGAGUUGUUUGACUCGUUCAGAGUUCCUCUCAAAGGGGACAGUGUACAACUGCUUCAUUCUGACUUGAUGUUUCAGGACUCUAGAAAUAGUUGUUAUGCUUACAUUGUGAAUAUUUCCAAAUGUAAUGUUGUCUGCCAACACUGUCCCAAAUCUCUGUGAGUUUUAUGCCAUUGUUUCUGAUGACCAUAUCAACAAUUGCAGUUCCCUGCACAGCAGUGAAAAUCCUACCUCUCCUGCCUGUGGGAGGUAACCGUUGGGUCCUAAGCAGAAAAACAAAAACAAUUACACACAAGUGGGUUUGGAGGCUUUGCUCAAUUUACUUCUGUAAUGAGCAGUUCAGUCAGAUGCCCUUGCAGAAUGCACAUCUUACCUGUUGUUUUGCCUGAAAUUUCUCACAAUAGAUGCCACUGUUGAGUGUUGCAGAUUUGGCUGCACUCUCAGACCAGCCUCUCAUUGAUAGACCACGAUUUAUUACAUAAUCAAUUAUAGUAGCUCUAAUGUCAUCUGAGACUACAGCUCUUGAUUUUCCUCUGUCUUCUUCCACCACACAUACAUACUCCUCUCCCUCUCCCAGCCACUCUUCUUCCUGUCAGCCACUUCUAUAUCUCUGGCUGGAUCCAUGUUUACAUUACAGUUCAGCAUUAUUCCUAAGAUGUCCCUUUUUGUAUAGAUGGUAAUGAAAUUGAAAGACGUAACACCUGGGUAGGUGUUGAGCUACAAUGGGAAUCAGCUGUGGUUGGUCUAAUUGUUUUGAUAGUAUUUCAUUUUUUUUAGAUUUGAAAUAUAUUUCAAUACGGUAUUACUGUAGAAAUGUAGCAAAUUGCUGUCUUAUUCAAUGUUGUGUUAUGUUUUGAACUUAAGUUUAACAGUUUUGAAAAUAAUACAGUUGAAGUCAGAAGUUUACAUACACUUAGUUUGGAGUCAUUCAAAUUCGUUUUUCAACCACUCCACAAAUUUCUUCUUAAUUUCUUAUGGCUGGGGGCACUAUUGAGUAGCUUGGAUGAAUAAGAUGCCCAGAGGUUCCCAGUGUAAACUGCCUGCUACUCAGUCCCAGUUGCUAAUAUAUGCAUAUUAUUAGUAUAUUUGGAUAGAAAACACUCUGGAGUUUCUAAAAACCGUUUGAAUGAUGUCUGUGAGUAUAACAGAACUCCUAUGGCAGGCAGAAACCUGAGAAAAAAUCCAACCAGGAAGUGGGAAAUCUGAGGUUGGUCGAUUUUCAACUCAUUCCCUAUUGAAGAUACAGUGGGAUAUUGGUCAUGUUGCGCUUCCUAAGGCUUCCACUAGAUGUCAACCUUCUCUAGAAACUUGUUUGAGGCUUCUACUGUAAAUAAGGGCUCUUUGAGUCAGUGGUCUGGCAGAGUGCCACAAACUCGUGACGCUCGUUCACGUGAGAGGUAGCUCCCGUUCCAUUGCAUUUCUGAAGACAAAGGAAUUCUCUGGUUGGAACAUUAUUGAAGAUUUAUGUUACAAACAUCCUAAAGAUUGAUUCUAUACAUUCUGUAAUUGAUUGAUUCUGUACGGACUGUAACUGAACUUUUUGACAUUUCGUCUGCUCCUAGUGAACGCGGUUUGUGACUUUGGAUUUGUUUACAAAACGCGCUUACAAAAGUAGCUAUUUGGACAUAAAUUAUGGACAUUAUUGAACAACAAACAUUUAUUGUGGAACUUGGAUUCCUGGGAGUGCAUUAUGAUGAAGAUCAUCAAAGAGGACCUGAGCCCUAGGACCAUGCCUCAGGACUACCUGGCCUGAUGACUCCUUGCUGUCCCCAGUCCACCUGGCCGUGCUGCUGCUCCAGUUUCACCUGUUCUGCCUGCGGCUAUGGAACGCUGACCUGUUCACCAGACGUGCUACCUGUCCCAGACCUGCUGUUUUCAACUCUCUAGAGACAGUAGGGGCGGUAGAGAUACUCUCAAUGAUCGGCUAUGAAAAGCCAACUGACAUUUACUCCUGAGGUGCUGACUUGUUGCACCCUCGACAACCACUGUGAUUAUUAUUAUUUGACCCUGCUGGUCAUCUAUGAACAUUUGAACAUCUUGGCCAUGUUCUGUUAUAAUCUCCACCUGGUACAGCCAGAAGAGGACUGGCCACCCCUCAUAGCCUGGUUCCUCUCUAGGUUUCUUCCUAGGUUUUGGCCUUUCUAGGGAGUUUUUCCUAGCCACCGUGCUUCUACACCUGCAUUGCUUGCUGUUUGGGGUUUUAGGCUGGGUUUCUGUACAGCACUUUGAGAUAUCAGCUGAUAUAAGAAGGGCUUAAUAAAUAAAUUUGAUUUGAUAAUCAAAGUGGGGUGUGUUUUUUUCCCUAAUGCCUCUGUUCAGACAUUCUGAGUAAAAGAACUAGAAAUCUUUUGCUUGUUUUCUUCCUGGCUGAAAUGCAGAUUUAACAUUCACUAGUAGACAGUAUGUCCCAAGAGGAAUGGUCUCGGCUGUUGUGUGUCUGGCCAUCUGCUUCAGCCUGACCUCUGCCUCUCUCCAACCCCAAUACCUCUCAGAAUUUGGGCUCUACAUUAUGCAACAAUUAUGCAACAUUGUAUAUGUAAAUUUUUGUUCAGGUGUACUGAAAUCAUGGAAUGUGGAUCUUGUGGAUUUCCGAACUGUGUCCAUUCUGCCUAUUUUCUUUGUAUGAAGAUUACUUUGUUAUGGAGACCUACAUCAGUAAGGGCAUGGAGGUAUGCCUAUAGGAUCAACAGGAGGUUAUUCAUUAAACAAAAAACAACAAAAUAUAUUGCUAAGGUAAUCUGAUGUCUGUGUCCAAUUUAUUUUGAUAGAGAAAUGUGAAUAUUUAGAGAGUUGGGUCUAUACACGAACAGAGCCACUUAGCUCCAGUGUGGUUUGUUUAGCCUGGCCUAUCAACCUUAAAGCCUGUGUGUUCAGUGUCUAGCUUCCCUAGGAAAUUAGCCAGGGGAAUUCCUGGCAUCGCUAGGAGAGAGUCAGAGUCGGGCCUCUUGAACCUCUGAACCAGGUGUCCCUCUGGUCCCGCCCACCAGGCUGUGGGAACUAACCUGUCAACAUUCUCUGCUGCCAAUGACUGGAACGAACUGCAAAAAUCACUGAACCUGGAGACCCAUAUCUCCCUCACUAGCUUUAAGCACCAGCUGUCAGAGCAGCUCACAGAUCACUGCACCUGUACAUAGCCCACCUGUAAACAGCCCAUCCAACUACCUCCUCCCCAUACUGUAUUUAUUUAUCAUGCUCCUUUGCACCCCAGUAUCUCUACUUGCACAUUAAUCUUCUGCACAUCUACCAUUCCAGUGUCUAAUUUCUAUAUUGUAAUUACUUUACCACCAUGGCAUAUUUAUUGCCUUACCUCUCUUAUCUUACCUCAUUUCCACACACUGUAUAUAGAUUUUUCUUUUUUCUACUGUAUUAUUGACUGUAUGUUUGUUUAUUUCAUGUGUAACUCUGUGUUGUUUGUGUCACACUGCUUUGCUUUAUCUUGGCCAGGUCGCAG
Long non-coding RNA from Oncorhynchus tshawytscha (Chinook salmon), 4140 nucleotides. The record is from Ensembl. NCBI's taxonomy places the organism in Eukaryota, Metazoa, Chordata, Actinopteri, Salmoniformes, Salmonidae.